Molecule: non-coding RNA, 633 nt
Organism: Rattus norvegicus (Norway rat)
Lineage: Eukaryota; Metazoa; Chordata; Mammalia; Rodentia; Muridae
Source: RefSeq, a predicted model, not a curated record
CAAUCACGAUACACGUCAAUAGAACUGCUGUGUAUAGUUACCCACAGUAAGCUUGGACUUGCAUCAGCCACCCAACAGCACCUCCUGCACCAGUGUGUUAGCUUUUAUGGUAUAAGCUGCCUCUGGGAUGGACCCCAACGUAGGAGAGACACCCGCACCGAUAGAAGAAAGUAUUUGGAAUAAGACUCCCAUUUUGAGUCAUGGUGUCCGGUGAAGUUUAAGUUCUCAAGACUUCCCUGAAAACUGACAUCCUACUUGGCAGAAAGAGACAUGGACGUGGGUAACUGACAUCCUGGUUGGAGAGUUAAGACAUGAAUGUUAGACAAGUCCCAUCCUGGUAGACAAGUUAGGACGUGACUACUAGACAAGAUCCCUUGAUAAGCCUGUCAGCUGUUGCAGAGUCCUCUACAUCCCAGCUCCUGUCUGUCCACAGUCCAUGCCCCAGCCUCCACUUCACCACUGAGUGCUCAUGGAAGUGGGCAGAGCCCUGUUUUGGAUAUACCCUGGGAUACCCCAGAACCCCUCUGCUUUCACUGAAGUCAUCAGUCGUUGAACAGACAUCUCAGGAAAAAAGAGCUCAAGCGUUUGGGGAGACAAUCUUAGUAGGAAUAAAGAUCUUUUUCUCUUUUCUCU